RNAcentral lists this transfer RNA (76 nucleotides) under Dehalobacter restrictus. RNAcentral's name for it is "tRNA-His". It matches the Rfam family "tRNA". From Rfam's summary of the family: Transfer RNA (tRNA) molecules are approximately 80 nucleotides in length. Their secondary structure includes four short double-helical elements and three loops (D, anti-codon, and T loops). Further hydrogen bonds mediate the characteristic L-shaped molecular structure. tRNAs have two regions of fundamental functional importance: the anti-codon, which is responsible for specific mRNA codon recognition, and the 3' end, to which the tRNAs corresponding amino acid is attached (by aminoacyl-tRNA synthetases). tRNAs cope with the degeneracy of the genetic code in two manners: having more than one tRNA (with a specific anti-codon) for a particular amino acid; and 'wobble' base-pairing, i.e. permitting non-standard base-pairing at the 3rd anti-codon position. Lineage: Bacteria; Bacillati; Bacillota; Clostridia; Eubacteriales; Desulfitobacteriaceae. RNAcentral also lists the same sequence under 11 other names. The record is from RNAcentral.
GUGGAUGUGGCGAAGUGGUUAACGCACCGGAUUGUGGCUCCGGCACUCGUGGGUUCAAGUCCCAUCAUUCACCCCA